GACGAACGCUGGCGGCGUGCCUAAUACAUGCAAGUCGAACGCUUUGAUUUUCACCGGAGCUUGCUCCACCGAAAAUCAAAGAGUGGCGGACGGGUGAGUAACACGUGGGCAACCUGCCCAACAGAGGGGGAUAACACUUGGAAACAGGUGCUAAUACCGCAUAAUUUGUUUUUCCGCAUGGAAGAAUAAUAAAAGACGCUUCGGUGUCACUGUUGGAUGGGCCCGCGCUGCAUUAGUUAGUUGGUGGGGUAACGGCCUACCAAGACCAUGAUGCAUAGCCGACCUGAGAGGGUGAUCGGCCACACUGGGACUGAGACACGGCCCAGACUCCUACGGGAGGCAGCAGUAGGGAAUCUUCGGCAAUGGACGAAAGUCUGACCGAGCAACGCCGCGUGAGUGAAGAAGGUUUUCGGAUCGUAAAACUCUGUUGUUAGAGAAGAACAAGUGAGAGAGUUACUGUUCUCACCUUGACGGUAUCUAACCAGAAAGCCACGGCUAACUACGUGCCAGCAGCCGCGGUAAUACGUAGGUGGCAAGCGUUGUCCGGAUUUAUUGGGCGUAAAGCGAGCGCAGGCGGUUUCUUAAGUCUGAUGUGAAAGCCCUCGGCUCAACCGAGGAAGGUCAUUGGAAACUGGGGAACUUGAGUGCAGAAGAGGAGAGUGGAAUUCCAUGUGUAGCGGUGAAAUGCGUAGAUAUAUGGAGGAACACCAGUGGCGAAGGCGACUCUCUGGUCUGUAACUGACGCUGAGGCUCGAAAGCGUGGGGAGCAAGCAGG
This 775-nucleotide ribosomal RNA is filed under the name uncultured bacterium. RNAcentral's name for it is "bacterial SSU rRNA". It matches the Rfam family "Bacterial small subunit ribosomal RNA", at positions 28 to 776 of the family's 1533-position model. The record is from RNAcentral.